UACGGGGGGAGCAAGCGUUGUUCGGAUUUACUGGGCGUAAAGGGCGCGUAGGCGGCGCAACAAGUCACUUGUGAAAUCUCCGGGCUUAACCCGGAGCGGCCAAGUGAUACUGUCGUGCUAGAGUGCGGAAGGGGCUACUGGAAUUCUCGGUGUAGCGGUGAAAUGCGUAGAUAUCGAGAGGAACACCUGCGGCGAAGGCGGGUUGCUGGGCUGACACUGACGCUGAAGUGCGAAAGCUAGGGGAGCGAACGGG
RNAcentral lists this ribosomal RNA (253 nucleotides) under uncultured bacterium. Its description in RNAcentral is "partial 16S ribosomal RNA". It matches the Rfam family "Bacterial small subunit ribosomal RNA", at positions 524 to 776 of the family's 1533-position model. The record is from RNAcentral.